AGUCGUUCUUCCGCUGUCAAGCCUGGUGGUUGCUAGGGGCGCUCCGAGCUGAAAGCGUGUGCCCUCAGACGCGUUCUGAAACAUCAGCUCUUCUUGGAUCUUGAGCCUGCCAACUUUCAGACUGGAACUUACACCGUCGACUCUCCUGAUUCUCAGGCCUUUGAACUCAGGUUGGAACUAAACAUCGGCUCUCCUAGGUUUCCAGAUUGUUGACAGCAGAUCUUGGGACUUCUAGCUUCUGUAAUCACAUAAUGAGGAUCUUCAAGAAUGUCUUCAGAUUUUCCAGGUUAAAUAGGCUCAAAGAAAUCCCACCUCUGCUCUUCCAGACAGAUCAGUCCCCUGGGGCUUAAUCAAGGCAGAGAAGCUGCCCGAGGGAGGCCAAACCUGUGGGAUACUGGCAUGGAAUGAGUGGGAACUAAGAAGCUAUGCUAAGAGUUCAUGUGAGAGGUGGUGAGGGAUUGAACUAAUGUGGAUGCAAAGGGGACAAAAAGGAGGGAGAGCUUGAAGAGACAUCUAUAACAGCUGGAGAUUGAGUUCAUUCACAUGGCCAAUCAAUCAUGCCUAUAUAAUGAAAUCCCAAGAAAAUUUCUGGACACUGAGACUUGGAGGAGUUCCUGGUUGGUGAACACAAGUGUGCUAAGAAGGUGACACAUCCUGACUCCACAGGCAGAAGGCAUGGAAUCUCCAUGUUCAAGACUCUCCCAGACAUCACUCUGUGUGUCUCUUCUUUUGGCUGGCCCUGAUUUAGCAAAUAGAAGUGUUUGCUGAUCACCAACAUCCCUCAGCAGUUCACACUUCUAUGCCUUUGUUCAUGUAAGGAUCUUUAUUCUGUGUCACUUUUUUCCAGAAAAAAAAUAGAAAUCUUUUAAAUCAUUGUUUCACACAAUAAUUGUCAUAGUUUUUAUUUUUCAUUAUAAUAACAGCCAUUGAUUUUUUACAUAUAUACAAAUACAUACACACAUAUAUAUUUUUCUUCCCUUGAACUUUUUUUUUCUGAAAUACGUAUGAAAAUUAAGUGGUUUUUAAAUGUUUUAGGCCUUUGCAAAUUAUUUAUACAUCCAAAUGCAACAGAAUUAGGAUUCCAGGUAGUAGAAGUCAUUUUACCAAAAGUCCAAGAAGUCUUUAGGAUCUCCCAAGAUAAUCUAAAAUAAACAAAGAAACAAAAAUUUGUUAGGACAGAAAUUUGGCAAGUGGUCAGUCUCCUUGUGUAUGGUGUCUCUGCUCCUAACAGGCACAUUUUUUUGAAAAAUGAAAUAUCUGUGUGGAAUAAUUUCAUGGAUUAAAAAAAAAUGCUCGAGAGAGUGAUGUUAACUUGAAUGUACAGUUGUUUUGGCUAGAACACAGCUUCAGCUUUUUAAAAAGCAGUAGCUCUCAAGAAACAUAAAGAGAAGGGAACAUUUUCCAACUCAUUUUAGGAGGCUACCUACCUGGAUAACAAAACCAAACAAGGAGAGUCCAAAAAAGAAACCUACAGACCAAUAGCCCUCAUGGAUAUAGAUGCAAAAAAUUCUCAACAGAUACUAGAAAAUUGAAUUUGACAAUAUAUAAUAUAUACAUAUAUAUUAGGGAAUAUAUUUAAAGAAUAACACAGCAUGACCAAAAAUUCAAGACUGGUUCAAUAGUCAAAAAUCAAUCAAUAGACCCACAAAAAUACAGUCAUUUGAUCUUUGGCAAAGAAGCAAAAGGGAAUUCAAUGGAGAAAACGAUAGGUUAUUCAACAAAUGGUGCUGGAACAACUGGACAUCCACAUGCAAAAGACGUGAAUCUAGACACAGACUUUACACUCUGCACAAAAGUGAACUCAAAAUGGAUCAUAGACCUAAAUGUAAAAUGCAAAACUACAAGAUUCUUAGAAGAUAACAUGGGAGAAAAUCCAGAUGACCUUGGGUUUGGUGAUGACUUUUUAAAAUACAGCACCAAAGGCAUGACUUACGAAAGAAAAAAUUGAUGUCAGACUUCAUUACAAUUAAAAACUUCUACUAUGCAAAAAACGCUGUCAAGAAAAUAAGACAAACCAAACAGUGGGAGGAAAAAAAUUGCAAAAGACAUAAGUACUGUUAUCCAAAAUGUGUAAGGAACACUUAAAACUCAACAAUAAGAAAAUGGACAACCUGAUUUAACAAUGAGGAAAAGAUCCAGACAUUUCACCAGAGAUACAGAUGGCAAGUAAGUAUAUGAAAAGAGGCUCAACAUGUGUCAUUAGGGAAUUGCAAAUUAAAACAAGAUACCACUACGAACCUAUUAGAAUGGCUAAAAUCCAAAAUACUGAGAACACCAAAUGCUGGCGAGGAUAUGGACCAACAGAAGCUCUCACUCACUGUUGAUGGGACUGCAAAAUGGUACAACCACUUUGGAAGAUAGUUUGGCAGUUUUUUAAUAAAAUCAAAUAUACUCUUACUGUACAGUACAGCAGUCACACUCCUUGGUGUUUACCCAAAGAAGCUGAAAAUUUACAUCCACACAAAAACCUGCAUGUUGAUGUUUGUAGCAGCUUGAUUCAUAAUUGCCAAAACUUGGAAGCAACUAAGAUGCCCUGCAGUAGGUGAAUAGAUGCACAAAACUGUGGUACAUUCAGACAAUGGACUAUUACUUGGUGCUAAAAGGAAAUGAGCUACUGAGUCAUGAAAAGACAGAGAGGAACCUUAAAUGAAUAUUACUAAGUCAAAGAAGCCAAUCUUAAAAGGCUACAUACUGGAUGAUUCCGACCACACGAUAUUCUGGAAAAGGGGUUGCGGGGAGGGAGGGAGGGAUGAGUAAGUAAAACAGAUAUUUUUAGGGUAGUGAAAUUUUUCUGUGUGAUACUAUAAGGGUUAAUACAUGUCAUUAUACAUUUGUCAAAAUUCAUAGACUAUUUAAUACAAAGAGUAAACACUAAGUCCAGCCCAACACUGGGCUUUGGUUGAUAUUAUGUGUCAGUGUUGGUUCAUUGAUUAUAACAAAUAGAUGUAGCACACUGAUUCAGGAUCAUGGUGAUGGGAGAGGCUGUAUGAAGCGAGGGAUGGGGAGGUGGGAAUUCCCUGCGCUUUCUGCCCAAUUUUGCUGUGAACCUAAAAACUUCUUUAAAAUAUUUCAUUUUAGUGUAUAUAUUUAUACAUACUUAAUUUUUAUAUAUAAAAUAUACUUUAUUUUUUAAAUUUAUGUGUAUUU
Molecule: long non-coding RNA, 3147 nt
Organism: Camelus dromedarius (Arabian camel)
Lineage: Eukaryota; Metazoa; Chordata; Mammalia; Artiodactyla; Camelidae
Exons: 4
Source: RefSeq, a predicted model, not a curated record